This 435-nucleotide long non-coding RNA is filed under the name Mytilus galloprovincialis (Mediterranean mussel). Lineage: Eukaryota; Metazoa; Mollusca; Bivalvia; Mytilida; Mytilidae. The record is from RNAcentral.
UUUCAGUGGCGUAGCCAGGGUUGAAAUGAUGUGGAUGUUUCACCGAGCGGAGCGAGGCGAAAAAUAUUUUGGAUCUUUUUAUGCAGAAAAUUAUUUUUUAUUUAAGCACAUGUACUCCCCCAGAAUCCGACACUAGUUAGAUUUUUGUUUAAAUUCAAAAUACCCACGGGCACCAGUUCAUAUAUUUUUAUUGUUAACCAAAUUUUAUUGUUUCCUCGAAACUACCAUCAUUCAAUUCAUAAACAUUAAAGUUUUCCACCCAAUCUCAUAUUUGACAUAUCAAAAACGGACCCCAUUACAGCGGCACUUCUGUAUAAUUUAGGAACUUCGGAAUAUAGGAACUGAAGUGCUUUCUCUUUUCAGGAAUUUGAGUCUACAACCUUGGGUUUUUGAUUUUUGAUUACUGAGCUAAACGCGUUGCAGGAGACAUAAAAA